This 117-nucleotide ribosomal RNA is filed under the name Clostridiales bacterium 38-18. RNAcentral also lists the same sequence under 1 other name. The record is from RNAcentral. Lineage: Bacteria; Bacillati; Bacillota; Clostridia; Eubacteriales.
UUUGGUGAUGAUGGCGAAGGGGUAACACCUGUUCCCAUACCGAACACAGAAGUAAAGUCCUUCAGCGUCGAUGGUACUUAGCGGGCAGCUGCUUGGGAGAGUAGAACGUUGCCAGAU